UACGGAGGGGGCUAGCGUUGUUCGGAAUCACUGGGCGUAAAGCGCACGUAGGCGGGUCAGCAAGUCAGGGGUGAAAUCCCGGGGCUUAACCUCGGAACUGCCUUUGAAACUGCUGACCUUGAGGUCGAGAGAGGUGAGUGGAAUUCCUAGUGUAGAGGUGAAAUUCGUAGAUAUUAGGAAGAACACCAGUGGCGAAGGCGGCUCACUGGCUCGAUUCUGACGCUGAGGUGCGAAAGCGUGGGGAGCAAACAGG
RNAcentral lists this ribosomal RNA (253 nucleotides) under uncultured bacterium. Its description in RNAcentral is "partial 16S ribosomal RNA". It matches the Rfam family "Bacterial small subunit ribosomal RNA", at positions 524 to 776 of the family's 1533-position model. The record is from RNAcentral.